RNAcentral lists this small nucleolar RNA (250 nucleotides) under Myotis davidii. The record is from RNAcentral. Lineage: Eukaryota; Metazoa; Chordata; Mammalia; Chiroptera; Vespertilionidae.
CUGGCUGAUGAAACUAAGGCGAAUGCGAUUCCGUGCUCUCUGGGGGGUGGAGUUCUCAAAUGGGAUCUGAAAUCUUAGUGGGGUACCUGAGCUUGGCUCCUCACUGUAAAGCAGAUCAAUAGCACUGCUGGCCUUACCUCCAUUUCUGCUGCUGCCUCUAGUUCCUGGCAGCUGCCUACAGGGGGGCCCACAGGUGAGGACCAAAGUAAGACUAGGCACGAGCCACCUGAGCGCAACCUUGGAUCUGACA